GCCGGGGUGGUGAAACUGGCAGACACGCAAGGUUGAGGGCCUUGUGGGAUUAUAUCCUGUGCGGGUCCGAAUCCCGCCCCCGGCA
This 85-nucleotide transfer RNA is filed under the name Candidatus Auribacterota bacterium. RNAcentral's name for it is "tRNA-Leu". It matches the Rfam family "tRNA". From Rfam's summary of the family: Transfer RNA (tRNA) molecules are approximately 80 nucleotides in length. Their secondary structure includes four short double-helical elements and three loops (D, anti-codon, and T loops). Further hydrogen bonds mediate the characteristic L-shaped molecular structure. tRNAs have two regions of fundamental functional importance: the anti-codon, which is responsible for specific mRNA codon recognition, and the 3' end, to which the tRNAs corresponding amino acid is attached (by aminoacyl-tRNA synthetases). tRNAs cope with the degeneracy of the genetic code in two manners: having more than one tRNA (with a specific anti-codon) for a particular amino acid; and 'wobble' base-pairing, i.e. permitting non-standard base-pairing at the 3rd anti-codon position. Lineage: Bacteria; Pseudomonadati; Candidatus Auribacterota. The record is from RNAcentral.